AAGAAUACCGGCUUCGCAGCCCAAUAUUCUCACCCUCUGUAUACUAAACUUUGUUGCUUUGGCAGGCCCCUGGCUUCAGCUGGAUUGCGCCUGCCAGAGGACCCCUAACUCUUGAAUUUCCCUGCUGUCUGAGUACUAUCUAAUAGUUA
RNAcentral lists this unclassified non-coding RNA (149 nucleotides) under uncultured Rhytismataceae. RNAcentral's name for it is "sequence contains ITS1". The record is from RNAcentral. Lineage: Eukaryota; Fungi; Ascomycota; Leotiomycetes; Rhytismatales; Rhytismataceae.